Molecule: long non-coding RNA, 1311 nt
Organism: Columba livia (rock pigeon)
Lineage: Eukaryota; Metazoa; Chordata; Aves; Columbiformes; Columbidae
Exons: 3
Source: RefSeq, a predicted model, not a curated record
AGCAGACUCACUCCCACCACCUUCCCUGCACUUAGACCCUUUCCUCCAGCAAGGAUAAGCAUCGCUUAAGAAACAGCACCCGGUGCACGCGCACAUUUACCACAGAACUCUGUGCUAGCCCUAAUAAGGGUAAUAAAGACCAACCGAGCCCAUCCGCCCGACCUCACUCUCGUCCUCGCUCAGCCCCAACGCCCUGCGGGCGCGUCCUGGAUGGGAGUGGGGAGAGGAAGGUAUGAACCAGCAGCCCGCAGUGAAUCACACGGAUACAGAACACGGCCCGUCGCUGCCUCUUACCCAGGUUCCCCGGGACCGCCGGAGCCUGCUGCCUGUAGGCGGCAGAGCUAAAACGACCCGCGCCGGAAAAGCCGGCGAUCGAGAACCUGCGCCCCACACCUGCCCAAGGCCCGCUGUCGGCGACUAGACCCCUUCCCUACUCACCAGCCAUGGACCCAAGGUGGCCUCCCAGGGAAGGACCAGCCAGCCUACUCUGCUCCAGCAAAAACUACGAUUUGAAGGACACAUGUACGCUCAAUAUAUCUCAGCAAAGUCCAGAACUUCCUGAUGUCUACCCUGCAGCCAUUGGUGCAAGGCCAGACCCCACCGUGGUGACUUGCCACAGCAGCUGCACUACUCUGGGAAAUUCAGUAUUGGUUUUGUAUAUUUUGCAUUAUUUUCUCUUAUUAUUAAUAUUAUUAGUAAAGCUUUUUUAACUUUCCAACUUCUCCCUCCCUUUUCCUCCUAUUCCCUUUACUGAGUGGGGAGGGCAGGGGUUAAAUAGAGAGCAUAUGCCACACUUAAUUGUUGCCCUGCAAUAAAUGGUGACAUUUGGUAUACUGCUUCUUAUGGAACUUGUUUAGAAUCUGCUUAUCUAGAAUUCACGAAGCAUAAGUAAGCUGUGAACCUCUGAACUUUCUGCUUUGUUAAAUAAAAAGGGCCAGAGAGUCUUCAAGCUAGAAGACAAGGGGAGCUGCAUCCUUGGAGAUGAGUAAAGCAGAACAGCACCUAAGAGAAGAAUGUUUUGACUAUUACCAAGAACUUACUUUCUCCAGCUGCAGGUGCAAAAUAGCAACUGAAGGUGAGAACUUUAAUUGACAGUCCACCUGAUGAAAAUGAAGAGAUCUAAUGAAGAAUGGGGAGACCCCAGACUCUGAUUUUUGCAUUUGUCCCAGAGUGACACAUGUGGGGUAAAAACUUGGAUUGUGAGGGUAUAAUUGUCCAUUUUUUUUUCUGCUGAGGGCCCCUUUUCAGGAGGCACUCAACUUGAGCUGCUCUAUGCCAUACCUUGCAAAUAAAUUAUUUAUUUAAGAAGAA